This 514-nucleotide long non-coding RNA is filed under the name Mus spicilegus (steppe mouse). Its description in RNAcentral is "lncRNA (ENSMSIG00000020469.1)". Lineage: Eukaryota; Metazoa; Chordata; Mammalia; Rodentia; Muridae. The record is from RNAcentral.
CUGUAGUUCAGUUCAGUUUACAAUCAACAGAGACAGAGUUUGGUUUUCUGUCUCCAGCCAUGUGUUUUCAUCCCAAUUAAGGGCAGAGAUUGUGUUCCGAGUUCGCCCUCAUCAUAAAGCUGUGGUUUUGUUAAACAUCACAGGAAUGAGAAUGGCACGGGGAAGCAGGACGUUCCGGAUGCGGCUUCUGGAAGACAAGCUAUGCAAGGCCUCCUGGUGAUGGCAUUGGCUGAGCAUUGGCUGAGCAAGGCAGAGCAGUUCUCAGCUGGUGUUUGACAAGAACAACCUGUAGAGGGCGUCCUUACACCAAGAGCCAUGGAGGUCUGAGCAAUACUACAGAAGAAAAACCUUCAACGAAAACCACAUUCCAAGUCAAAAAGAGUCUAUUGUGUUGCGAAAUUAUUACCUGUAACUGAAUGACACUGUUUUUACAAUAUUAAAGGGUUAUAAGUUUGCCUAAUAUAGUAAAACAUUAUACAAAUUAAUAUUCACUGCAACAAUUAAUUAAUAAAAU